UACGAAGGGUGCAAACGUUGCUCGGAAUUAUUGGGCGUAAAGCGCACGUAGGCGGCUUUGUGUGUCGGAUGUGAAAUCCCUCGGCUCAACCAAGGAAGUGCAUUCGAAACUGCAAAGCUUGAGUACUUAAGAGGAUCGCGGAAUUCCCGGUGUAGAGGUGAAAUGCGCAGAUAUCAGGAAGAACACCUAUGGCGAAGGCAGCUCUCUGGGACGGUACUGACGCUGAGACGCGAAAGCGUGGGGAGCGAACAGG
RNAcentral lists this ribosomal RNA (253 nucleotides) under uncultured bacterium. RNAcentral's name for it is "partial 16S ribosomal RNA". It matches the Rfam family "Bacterial small subunit ribosomal RNA", at positions 524 to 776 of the family's 1533-position model. The record is from RNAcentral.